RNAcentral lists this transfer RNA (83 nucleotides) under Oryctolagus cuniculus (rabbit). It matches the Rfam family "tRNA". From Rfam's summary of the family: Transfer RNA (tRNA) molecules are approximately 80 nucleotides in length. Their secondary structure includes four short double-helical elements and three loops (D, anti-codon, and T loops). The record is from Rfam by way of RNAcentral. Lineage: Eukaryota; Metazoa; Chordata; Mammalia; Lagomorpha; Leporidae.
GGUGCUGUGGUUUAGUGGGUUAAAACCCCAGCCUGCAGUGCUGGCAUCCCAUAUGGGCACCGGUUUGAGUCCCGGCUGCUCUA